This 254-nucleotide ribosomal RNA is filed under the name uncultured bacterium. RNAcentral's name for it is "partial 16S ribosomal RNA". It matches the Rfam family "Bacterial small subunit ribosomal RNA", at positions 524 to 776 of the family's 1533-position model. The record is from RNAcentral.
GACGUAGGGUCCAAGCGUUGUCCGGAUUUACUGGGCGUAAAGAGCGCGUAGGCGGUCUGUUAAGUGAGAAGUGAAAUCUCCAGGGCUCAACCCGGAAACUGCUUUUCAUACUGGCAGACUUGAGGGAUGCAGAGGUGAAUGGAAUUCCUGGUGUAGCGGUGAAAUGCGUUGAUAUCAGGAGGAACACCCAUGGCGAAGGCGGAACUCUGGGCCGGAACUGACGCUGAGGAGCGAAAGCGUGGGGAGCGAACAGG